This is a non-coding RNA of Monodelphis domestica (gray short-tailed opossum), 465 nucleotides long. The record is from RefSeq and is a predicted model, not a curated record. Lineage: Eukaryota; Metazoa; Chordata; Mammalia; Didelphimorphia; Didelphidae.
GUGGCACAACUAUUCCUAUGGUUCUAUGACACCAUAUGGAAUGUUUUUACUGACUAGCUCUGGGAAUGGAUCAAUCAAGAAGCUGGAAAUCUAUGGCCAUUCCUACCUGCAUCCUUAUUUUCUUUGGGCAAAUGGUUAAGGACUUGAGGAAGAGACUAAAUCUGAUAAGGGGAAUUGAUCUUCCACCAUACUUCCCCAAGAGAUCUCCAAGGAAGCAUUCACUGAGGGCACAGCUCUGAACUAAAUGGUUAACUACCUCUUAAAGCAGAUCUCUGAUACCAUGAUGGAGACAUGAAACUUGGUAUGUCACUCUACAGUCUUCAAAAGUCUGAAAGAUUCAAGAUCAUUUGAGACUGUUCUGUACAAAAGAGCCUUAAAGGUUUUUUAGAGAUAAAAUGAGUCAACCAAAAGCCAAUACACUUAUAAGUUACUAAGCAUACAUGUAUUUGUAACAUGCUGCACAAA